UGGGUGAUAGCGUGCCUUUUGUAGAAUGAACCGGCGACUUACGAUACCAUGCAAGGUUAAGGUGGAAAGACCGGAGCCGUAGCGAAAGCGAGUCUGAAAUGGGCGAAUUAGUAUGUUGUUGUAGACCCGAAACCAGGUGACCUACCCAUGUCCAGGGUGAAGGUGCGGUAAAACGCACUGGAGGCCCGAACCCGUGCAUGUUGAAAAAUGCUGGGAUGAGGUGUGGGUAGCGGUGAAAUUCCAAUCGAACUUGGAGAUAGCUGGUUCUCUCCGAAAUAGCUUUAGGGCUAGCCUCGGAAUGUAGCGUGUUGGAGGUAGAGCACUGUUUUGGUGCGGGGCCCAUCUCGGGUUACCAAAUUAAGAUAAACUCCGAAUGCCAAUCACGUAUGUCCGGGAGUCAGACAGUGAGUGAUAAGAUCCAUUGUCGAAAGGGGAACAGCCCAGAUCGUCAGUUAAGGUCCCUAAGUGUGUGUUAAGUGGAAAAGGAUGUGGAGUUGCAUAGACAACUAGGAUGUUG
This 517-nucleotide ribosomal RNA is filed under the name Bacillus cereus. RNAcentral's name for it is "partial 23S ribosomal RNA". It matches the Rfam family "Bacterial large subunit ribosomal RNA", at positions 590 to 1103 of the family's 2925-position model. Lineage: Bacteria; Bacillati; Bacillota; Bacilli; Caryophanales; Bacillaceae. The record is from RNAcentral.